GCUGAAUUGUUUGCUGACGUUCAAUUGACCUCUUCUUUAUGAAAUCGGCAUAUAUAAUGGCAGACUUUUUGUCGACUUUGGUGUCUCUUGUAGCGUUUCGAGGAUGUGUGUUCUUGGCGACUGAUACAUUGGUGCCUCGCGAACUAGAUAUGUUUUCGUGAUGUUCUUGUGACUGCCUGCUGCAGAUUCAUGAUUUUUCUGGAUUAUUUUUAUUCUGUCUUCCACUGGAGAAGUGAUAACAAUAUCAAGACAAACGGAAAUCAAUACAGAUCAAACAGAGUACGCGCAAGAUUAACAAUCAAGCCUCACAUGAGGUGAGCAUGUUCCUUAGAGCUAUCAAGAGGGAAUGGUUCUACCAGCGUGAAUAAAGAAUUAGCGAUGUCUGGUGAACAGAGAGAUCUCUCGCGAACUUGAGCAAAUGGAGGUUUAUUAAUUUCAUUUGGAGCUUUGGAGCUCAAGGUUUUGAUAUAGCACCAGGAUACAUGCAAUGGAGACUUAUGAGAGAGCUCGGCGACUUCUAAAAGUCGAAUAGUAACUAGCUGGGAGAGCAUUCCAGUGGAAGAAUGGAACGUGCGUUCCCCUAACUUAAGGGAUAGUCUCGCAAAUCAGAGCUCAACGAGGUACGUCGCAAUUAUCGAGUCGAAGGACAUGUAUUCCUUGGGACCUAAUGGUUAUUAGUAUUAUUAGAAUUAUUAUUAGCCAGCGAGA
Molecule: long non-coding RNA, 708 nt
Organism: Acromyrmex echinatior (Panamanian leafcutter ant)
Lineage: Eukaryota; Metazoa; Arthropoda; Insecta; Hymenoptera; Formicidae
Source: RefSeq, a predicted model, not a curated record